Molecule: transfer RNA, 69 nt
Filed under: Patescibacteria group bacterium
Lineage: Bacteria
Description: tRNA-OTHER
Rfam family: tRNA
About the family: Transfer RNA (tRNA) molecules are approximately 80 nucleotides in length. Their secondary structure includes four short double-helical elements and three loops (D, anti-codon, and T loops).
Source: RNAcentral
GCGAUCGCCGCGCAAAGGUAGCGCAAAAAGGUAUACCCUUUGGUGCGGGUUCAAUUCCCGCCGAUCGUU